CUCUCCAAACUCUCAAAGAUCAAAGCUGCCUACCCAAAAAGGGGAACUAUCACCAUGAGAACCUGAUAAGAAAAAAGAAAAGCAAUCGAAUAAUCCGAGCAAAGUAAACCCAUUUCCUCUACCUUUUUCUCUUUUCUUGAUUCAUUAAUUUUCAUUUUAAAAAAUCUAAAUUCAAAUAAAGAAAAGAGAAAAUGAUUGUCGUUUCAUGGGAAAAUGAAAUGAAAGAUCGAGACUUUACAGAAGUAGUCCCAUCAAACAAGCUUCAGUGAGCGUAACACGUAAAACCCAUAUCGAUAAACCGCGUUUCUUUCCCUGAAAAAGUGAGUCCGAGUUAGAUUCGGAGCGAGUGAAGCAGAAGGAAAUGGAUAACCGGGUUGACCCGUAUCGGAUUCCGUUGGCUCGGGUGGUUUUCCAGUUAGUAAAAGUACGGUUUAAUGAUGCUCUUAAGGAAGCUAAAGCUGGUGAUACCAAUAUGCAAGUACUUGUUGGACAAAGGAUUGCAAUGGCUAUGGUGUUACUAAAGAUAUCCAAAAGGUUAUAAUGCUAGUGGCUCUGAUUCUAAUGAAUUGAAGGGUGGUGCAAAGUAAGUGUUGUGGGUCAUGAUGCUUCUUCACUUGCUGCUUUUCUCUUUGCCAAAUAGAGAUAUGGUUUCUAUUCUUUUCACUCUCACUUGAUUAUUUUUUGUUCCCCUUGUGUAUCCUUUGAUGAUUAUUUGUUUUAUCAUCUUUUGUUCUUUCAAGUGUUGCUGUAUUUGCUAUUGAGAUCAUAGAUUGCUAUGACAGAUUUGUAUAUGUAAAGGGGUUUCAUUUAAUGGAAUAUACUUUCUUUUUUCCUUUUAAUGGAUUUUGGCAUUUUAUGGAUUGAA
Long non-coding RNA from Gossypium arboreum, 865 nucleotides. RefSeq lists it as uncharacterized. Lineage: Eukaryota; Viridiplantae; Streptophyta; Magnoliopsida; Malvales; Malvaceae. The record is from RefSeq and is a predicted model, not a curated record. The transcript has 3 exons.